This 576-nucleotide ribosomal RNA is filed under the name uncultured Pedobacter sp. Its description in RNAcentral is "bacterial SSU rRNA". It matches the Rfam family "Bacterial small subunit ribosomal RNA", at positions 338 to 918 of the family's 1533-position model. The record is from RNAcentral. Lineage: Bacteria; Pseudomonadati; Bacteroidota; Sphingobacteriia; Sphingobacteriales; Sphingobacteriaceae.
CGUACGGGAGGCAGCAGAGGAAUAUUGGUCAAUGGAGGCAACUUUGAACCAGCCAUGCCGCGUGCAGGAAGUCAUCCGUGUGGGUGGUAAAAUGGUUUUAUUCGGGAAUAAACGUAUUUACGUGUAAGUAGCCGAAUGUACGGAAGGAAUAAGGAUCGGCUAAUUCCGUGCCAGCAGCCGCGGUAAUACGGAGGAUCCAAGCGUUAUCCGGAUUUAUUGGGUUUAAAGGGUGAGUAGGCGGCUUUUUAAGUCAGGGGUGAAAGACGGUGGCUCAACCAUCGCAGUGCCCUUCAUACUGAAGAGCUUGAAUGAACUAGAGGUAGGCGGAAUGUGACAAGUAGCGGUGAAAUGCAUAGAUAUGUCACAGCACACCGAUUGAGAAGGCAGCUUACUAUGGUUAAAUCACGCUGAGGCACGAAAGCGUGGGGAUCAAACAGGAUUAGAUACCCUGGUAGUCCACGCCGUAAACGACGAAUACUCGCUGUUAGCGAUACACAGCUAGCGGAUAACAGAAAGCCUUAAGUAUUCCUCGUGGGGAGUACGGUCGCAAGAUGGAAAUUCAAAGAAUUGACGGGG